GCAGAACGUCUACACCAUGGCCAUGACUCCUCUCUUUCUGAUGCUGCUCACUCUCUGCAAAGGGGUCACUUCUCAGGCUGUGGUGACCCAGGAGCCUGCUCUGACUGUGAUCCCAGGAGGAACCGUCACCCUGACCUGCAGCUCCAGCACAGGGGCUGUCACCACUGGGCACUACCCAGCUUGGUUCCAGCAGCAUCAUGGCCGGCCUCCCAGGCGACUCAUCUAUAACACCAACAAUCUGGCAUCAGGGGUCCCUGCUCGGUUCUCGGGGUCCCUCCUUGGGACCAAAGCUGCCCUCACCAUCACGGGGGCCCAGGCUGAGGACGAGGCUGACUAUUACUGUAUCUUGUAUUACAGUGGUCCUUAG
Gracilinanus agilis (Agile Gracile Mouse Opossum) is the source of this 367-nucleotide non-coding RNA. NCBI's taxonomy places the organism in Eukaryota, Metazoa, Chordata, Mammalia, Didelphimorphia, Didelphidae. The record is from the annotation of a RefSeq genome assembly.